GUGGUUGCAGGCUUCCAUUGCUAUAAUUCUGCUGCAAACUGCUUCUUUUAUCCUCAAAGAAUAUUUAAAAAAAAAAGUUACUCCAAAUUUGCAGUAACACUGUAAGAGGGGAGAGAGAGAGAGAGAGACAGAAAGUGGAUGAUAUAACUGUUGUUUUGGUACUUGGAAUUUUCUAUAGGUAUAGAUUCUUGUCUUUGCUGAAUUUUUAUGAGACUUUGUUUUGGAUCCUUUUAUCUUAAUUGUUUUGACUUUGUUUUAUUGUAGUAAAGUGUGCCCCCCCAUUUGUAGGUUCCACGCUUCUGGUCUUGAGGUUCAAAAAGCUCUUACUUGAUAUUUGUAGAUAAAAUUCCAGCAGAUAUCAGCACUUAUACUUCCAUUGGUAAAAUGUUAACUUCAGUCAUUUUUAUACAUUUCCUAACCCCACCCAAAUAUUCCAUUGCUUUCAAUAUUUUUCUUUUUUCUUUUUAAUUAUAAUAGGGUUACUACGGACUUAUGAAGCAUUAAAGUUCCAGACUAUACAAGGACCACUGGAAUUAGGCUUUAACCUACCCUCCCUUAUUUGAUAUCCUCACCAGUUGAUCAAGUUUAGUUUGAACCAUGCUUAAAUUUCACUCAAUUGGAUUUGAAUGUGAAGUUGAGUAGGUAAAUGAAGCUUUUAUCAAAAUAGAAUCGGUAUAACAUAAGAUACCUGGAUGGUUCAUGUUAAGAGUGCUUUCUUUACAUUUCAUUAAGAUUAGGGUUUCUCUUUCUCUUAACAUAUACACACACGCGCACAUAGGCACAUAUGCCUUUUUCCAACAAUUCCUAAGGAAAGUGCUUUUAGAUUAUGCCAAAAUUUAUUGUCUUGUACCAAUGGUAUUGAGAACGUUUCAACAUCAGAUCUGAAUGUUCGUGCCUACCUUGCUUAGGUAGUAGACUAGUAGAAAUAUGGAGUGUUUUUUUAAUAUGCAAGUGGAUCUACCUAGACAAACUAGAUAAGUGUAUAUAUUAAGGCAGGGACAGAUUAUAGGACAAAUAUUCGUAGCCAUAAAACAAAUCCGAUAAGGAAGUACAAUAUGCAGCUUAACAAACAGUUCUUAUCUGUAUAUGUGUGUCUAUAUAUCUAACUUUUGCUGUAUUGGGAGAUGUUCACUAGAAAAUUGAAUUCAUGGUUUUAAGGCCAACUCUUUUGUUCGUUUAUGAAGCUGCAUAGAUCAUUUGAUCUAACUACUUUAAUUAUUUGAUCCAUUCAUUCAUAUAUUGUAUUAAUGCAGCCAACUAAUCUAGCUCAUAUAUAUAUAUAUACCAUUGGUCCUUUUUGGGUAUUUAUAAAUUAUAUGGAUUUAAUUGAUAUACUACGUGUUAUAGCCAUUUGCUUUUUGGAAGGGAAAAUAGACCAGAGCUGAAAAGCUGUGACUGCCUUGUGUUUUGUGAAUGUCUACUUGAAUCUCGGUAAUCUUAAGAGCUACUACUGUAACCGUGUUGCAACAUUCUGUCUCACAGCCUCUAUUAAAUAAUACUAAUUAAUCUCAAACUCUUCCACUUCAAAGAACAAGAUAAUUGGAUGCCACCUCUUUAAAGGUAGUUCUAUAAACCAAGAGAAUUAAACCGGUGCUUUGAAGUAAUUUCCUUUACGCAUGUGCACACAUGCAGCAUUUUCUUCUACAUUACUAGUGUCUGUGUAUAGGGCUGUAAAUUAUGAACAAUUAAAUUUUUAUUCGUUUAUGUUCAAUAAGAUUUUGAAGCUUGUUUAUUAAACGAACACAAAAAAACCUUAAAAUAUUGUCAUACACAAUCGAUAAUAUUUUGCAGCCAAAAAACAAGAUUGAAGGGUUAGAGAUACUGUCAUAAUGAUGGCUCACUUUGGGUUGUACAGAACUUUCUUGCAUAUAAAUGGCUUUUGAUCUUGAGGGUCAACAAAGUUGCCAUUUAUCGUUGUUGGGCGAACUUUUACAUUGAGAUAAAAGGGCAGGGCCCUCCCUCAUGAAGCUUCAUUUAGUGCCAAGCAUAUUACCCAUAUCUACUGGUUCGAACAAAGAGUUAUGCCUCAAAAGCGACGUGACUGAACCAUUUUCCCCAACACAUGGGGGCGGAAAAUUAUUGCUUUAACUUGCCAUUUCCCUUUCACUUAAUUUGUCCAUAGCUAUUGGCUUACCUCCCCUCCGAAGUUUUUUAAUUUUACACUCUAAUUAAUAUUUAUCUUUCUCUAGUUUUUUGAAAUCCACUAAGGUUUUAGUUGAUUAAGACAGUAGGGCACUGAACAUGGAAGCUGAAACUACUACUGAUGUAUAAGAGCGCGACAUAUAAUAAAGAUAACCAAAGUUACACAUUUUGUUGUGUAUGAAUAGUUUGAAAAAAAGUUAGCUAUAUGAGCUAAAUGAAUUAAAUUUAAUUUUAUUAAUCCUAUCCAAAUUAGUUGUUUCUUUUACCAUCUUAGAUUUAUUUCAUUUGAAGAAAACAUUCAAAAUUUAAAAGUUGUCUUUUUAAUUUUUGUCCAUGCUUUGUCAAUAAUUGGGUUCACUCUGAUUUUUUUUAUUUUUAUUUUUUUAAAUAAGUGCCCCCAGUACAGGAAAGCUAGAUGAAAUAACAGGUCUAAUUAGUAUAGUCUAACAUCAUCAUCAUUAUUCAAAAUCAUGCAUGUUUCCAAGCUUUUUUUCAUUCUUUUAGAGAAAGAUUCCCCAUCACCAAUUCUUUUACUCUCUAAUGGUCCAUUUUCCCUUCUUUUUCCAUCUUGAUUACACCUUAAUUAUGGUUUUUCCCUUUUCCUUCUUUCUUUCUUUUGGGGUUUUCUAUUAGGUGAGAUUCUUCUAACCCUUCUUUUAACAUCCCUCACUUUAAUUAUGGAUCACUUUUUUUUCGUCAUUAUUUUUUUUUUCUAAUAAUGCCUACCGAGUUUUUUUAAGCUUAAUAUAUAAAAGGUAAAGUUCAGUACAGCGAGAAAAGUAAUGUUCACCGCAGCCUCGAAUCAAGCUAAAAGCAUUGAGCUCUUACUAGUCUUAGCACAAUUAUUCACUUCUCUACAAACAUAAACAAUCUUAACAUUUUGCACAAGGAUAAUACAAUGAUCAAUAAUCUUAAACGUUUCAGCAAAUCUCCAUUGACGAAGCACUGGGUUGAAGCACC
RNAcentral lists this long non-coding RNA (3102 nucleotides) under Gossypium barbadense (sea-island cotton). RNAcentral's name for it is "long non-coding RNA (GBAR_LNC016908)". Lineage: Eukaryota; Viridiplantae; Streptophyta; Magnoliopsida; Malvales; Malvaceae. The record is from RNAcentral.